This 71-nucleotide transfer RNA is filed under the name Actinomycetota bacterium. RNAcentral describes it as "Actinobacteria bacterium tRNA-Gly". It matches the Rfam family "tRNA". From Rfam's summary of the family: Transfer RNA (tRNA) molecules are approximately 80 nucleotides in length. Their secondary structure includes four short double-helical elements and three loops (D, anti-codon, and T loops). Further hydrogen bonds mediate the characteristic L-shaped molecular structure. tRNAs have two regions of fundamental functional importance: the anti-codon, which is responsible for specific mRNA codon recognition, and the 3' end, to which the tRNAs corresponding amino acid is attached (by aminoacyl-tRNA synthetases). tRNAs cope with the degeneracy of the genetic code in two manners: having more than one tRNA (with a specific anti-codon) for a particular amino acid; and 'wobble' base-pairing, i.e. permitting non-standard base-pairing at the 3rd anti-codon position. The record is from RNAcentral. Lineage: Bacteria; Bacillati; Actinomycetota.
GCGGGUGUAGUUCAGCGGUAGAACAUCAGCUUCCCAAGCUGAGAACGCGGGUUCGAUUCCCGUCGCCCGCU